CCUACGGGUGGCAGCAGUAGGGAAUAUUGCACAAUGGGCGCAAGCCUGAUGCAGCCAUGCCGCGUGUGUGAAGAAGGCCUUCGGGUUGUAAAGCACUUUCAGCGGGGAGGAAGGCGGUGAGGUUAAUAACCUCAUCGAUUGACGUUACCCGCAGAAGAAGCGCCGGCUAACUCCGUGCCAGCAGCCGCGGUAAUACGGAGGGUGCAAGCGUUAAUCGGAAUUACUGGGCGUAAAGCGCACGCAGGCGGUCUGUCAAGUCGGAUGUGAAAUCCCCGGGCUCAACCUGGGAACUGCAUUCGAAACUGGCAGGCUAGAGUCUUGUAGAGGGGGGUAGAAUUCCAGGUGUAGCGGUGAAAUGCGUAGAGAUCUGGAGGAAUACCGGUGGCGAAGGCGGCCCCCUGGACAAAGACUGACGCUCAGGUGCGAAAGCGUGGGGAGCAAACAGGAUUAGAUACCCUAGUAGUC
Molecule: ribosomal RNA, 465 nt
Filed under: uncultured Klebsiella sp.
Lineage: Bacteria; Pseudomonadati; Pseudomonadota; Gammaproteobacteria; Enterobacterales; Enterobacteriaceae
Description: bacterial SSU rRNA
Rfam family: Bacterial small subunit ribosomal RNA
Source: RNAcentral